GGGGGGUUAGCGCAAUGGUAGCGCGUCCGCCUCCAGAGCGGAAGGUUGUUGGUUCGAUCCCUGCACUCCCCA
This 72-nucleotide transfer RNA is filed under the name Coemansia sp. RSA 2424. RNAcentral describes it as "tRNA-Trp". It matches the Rfam family "tRNA". Rfam says of the family: Transfer RNA (tRNA) molecules are approximately 80 nucleotides in length. Their secondary structure includes four short double-helical elements and three loops (D, anti-codon, and T loops). The record is from RNAcentral. Lineage: Eukaryota; Fungi; Kickxellomycota; Kickxellomycetes; Kickxellales; Kickxellaceae. RNAcentral also lists the same sequence under 1 other name.